UGACUUAGCUUAGUUGGUAGAGCAAUCGUCUCGUAAGCGAUAGGUCGUAAGUUCGAAUCUUAUAGUCA
RNAcentral lists this transfer RNA (68 nucleotides) under uncultured Anaeroplasma sp. It matches the Rfam family "tRNA". From Rfam's summary of the family: Transfer RNA (tRNA) molecules are approximately 80 nucleotides in length. Their secondary structure includes four short double-helical elements and three loops (D, anti-codon, and T loops). Further hydrogen bonds mediate the characteristic L-shaped molecular structure. tRNAs have two regions of fundamental functional importance: the anti-codon, which is responsible for specific mRNA codon recognition, and the 3' end, to which the tRNAs corresponding amino acid is attached (by aminoacyl-tRNA synthetases). tRNAs cope with the degeneracy of the genetic code in two manners: having more than one tRNA (with a specific anti-codon) for a particular amino acid; and 'wobble' base-pairing, i.e. permitting non-standard base-pairing at the 3rd anti-codon position. Lineage: Bacteria; Bacillati; Mycoplasmatota; Mollicutes; Anaeroplasmatales; Anaeroplasmataceae. The record is from RNAcentral.